UUAAAUUAUUGGGUUUUAUUCUAGCUCCGAGUGAAUGCUUGUAACAUAUUUAACACAUGCAAAUUGAACGAAAAAUCAAUAAGAUUUUUAGUAGUGACCUGGUGCGUAAAGUAUGAGUAUUGAAGUAUAAAUUAGGCAUUAAAAUUCCUAAUAUAAAAAAGAUUAAUAUCGUUUAUAUCAAAGCUUAUAUAGGAUUAGGUAGUUGUUAUAGUAAUUAUUUAACAAGCCUAUAAUGCUUAGCUGAUUUGAGAGAAUGAUCAGCCACAUUGGAACUGAAGACGGUCCAAGUCUUUUGAGAGGGCAGCAGUGGAGAAUAUUUGACAAUGAGCGAAAGCUUGAUCGAGUAAUGUUACGUGAGUGAUGAGAAGGCUUAAUUGCUGUAAAACUCUUUCGUCAAGGAUUAUAAUGUAAAUUGUACUUGAAAGAGAAGCCCUGACUAACUUCGUGCCAGCAGUCGCGGUAAUACGGAGAGGGCUAGUGUUAUUCGUAUUGACUGGGUGUAAAGGGUAAGUAGGUGGUUUAUUAAGUUUAAAUAAAUGCUAAAUUAAAUUUUAGAAGUAUUUAAAAUACUAUUAUACUAGAGUUAAAUUGAAGAUAACUGUACAUUAAGUGUAAAAGUGAAAUUUGUUAAUAUUUAAAGGACAGUCAAUAAGCGAAAGCUGUUAUCUAAAUUAAAACUGACACUGAGUUACAAAAGCAUAGGGAUCAAACGGGAUUAGAGACCCCGGUAGUCUAUGCCCUGACCGAUGAAUGUUAAUUAAAUUAAAUUAUUUAAUUAAGCUAACGUGUAAACAUUCCACCUGAGUACUACGACCGCAAGGUUAAAACUCAAAGAAACUGACGGAAGAUUGUAUAAGCGGUGGAGUAUGUGGUUUAAUUUGAUAUAACGCACAAAAUCUUACCAGUUUUUGAAUGUAAAUAAGCUAUUAUAUAAUUUUUUUGUAUAAUAUGAUUAUAAAUAUAAUUUAUUAUUUUUUUAAUAAUUAUUUUAUUUGUAAAUUUACACAGGUGCUGCAUGGUUGUCGUCAGUUCGUGUUGUGAAAUGUUAUGUUAAUUCAUUUAACGGACGUAACCCUUAGUUUUAAUUUAUUAAAGUUUCAAGAUAAAAUUUAUUUAUAAUAAAUAAAUUUUAUUAUAUUUAAACUUUAUUAAAACUAAUAUUAAUAUAAAAUUAAUUGAAAAAGGAAGAAGUCAAAUCAUUAUGGCCUAUAUAAAUUGGGCUACACACGUACUACAAUGGUAAUUACAAUAUGAAACAAUAAUGUAAAUUGGAGUAAAACAUUAAAAAUUAACCUUAGUUCGGAUUAUUCUCUGUAAGUCGAGAGUAUGAAGGCGGAAUCGCUAGUAAUCGCAAAAUAGAACGUUGCGGUGAAUAUAUUCUCAAUCUUUGUACACACCGCCCGUCACGCCAUGGGAAUUGGUUUGAUUUGAAAUAAUAUAGAUAUUAAUUUAAUAUAAUAAUAAUCUUUUUUUAUUAUAUGUUAAUAUACUAAUUAUGACAAUUAAAUUAAGGACUGGGGCGAAGUCGUAACAAGGUAGUGGUAGGGGAACC
This 1552-nucleotide ribosomal RNA is filed under the name Acanthamoeba tubiashi. RNAcentral's name for it is "16S ribosomal RNA". It matches the Rfam family "Bacterial small subunit ribosomal RNA". Lineage: Eukaryota; Discosea; Longamoebia; Acanthamoebidae. The record is from RNAcentral.